This 842-nucleotide long non-coding RNA is filed under the name Spirodela polyrhiza (greater duckweed). RNAcentral's name for it is "long non-coding RNA (SPOL_LNC001481)". Lineage: Eukaryota; Viridiplantae; Streptophyta; Magnoliopsida; Alismatales; Araceae. The record is from RNAcentral.
CCUUCUCCCAAAUGGGCUACUUCUUCGGGGUGGCCUCCCAGUUCCUGUACGGGGCCUUCGGUUGCUGGACCGUCUACCUCCUCAGCCUCUUCCACGCCGAGGCCUCCCGCCGCACGCGGGAGGCCGGGACACUCCACCGGCGGCACGUCCUGCAGUACCACGAGGUCAUCGGCAUCGUCGCCGGGCCGGCGCUCGGCAGGGCGGUGCUGGCCUUCAACAUGGUCGCCCUCACCUUCGCCUGCGUCCUGCAGCUCAUCGCCUGCUCCAGGUACGCCGCCAUCUUCUCCGGCCGUUCCCUUUUUUCAUAUAUAAAUACAUAUAUAAGACGGUGAGGAGGAGGACCUGGGCGCGUCGCCUGGCGCUGCAGCCACAUCUACUACAUGAGCUCGAGGUGGAACAAGAGGGAGUGGCUGUACCUGUUCGGAGCGCUCGCCCUGCCCACGGUUCUCCUGCCGUCGAUCCACAAUUUCCGGGUGGUGUCGAUUCUGGGGAUCGCCACGACGACCGUGACGUCGGCCUACAUGACGGUGGCGGCCGUCCAGCACGGCCAGGUUUCGGUCUCCCUCUGAUCUUCUUCCCUUCCGAGCUCUGAGAACAGCAACAACAGAAAAAAAAAAAAAAGAACCUCCUUUUUCAUGGUGAGUCUCUAUCUAUCUAUCUAUCUAUCCAUCCAUGGAUCCUGCUGCAGAUUGAGGGCGCGACUCACCAGGGGCCGAAGAAGCUGGUGGACUUCUUCACGGGCAGCACCAACAUCCUCUUCUCGUUCGGCAGCCACGGGCUCUGCAUGUGAGUGAUUUCGUUCACCAUCUGAUCGAAUCUGCCGUGGUGAGACCGGCUCUUCU